GGGUCCUGCAGGGGUCAGGCGACCGUGCAGGAAGACCAGAAGGAAAGUAAUCUGCCGCAUCCAGAAUGAACAGAACAAAACCCCCGCACUCCAGGAAGAAGUCAGGAGCCCAGUGGGGGCUGCAGGUCCAGCCCACAACAACCUAGACAUGUGGGGUGCUCCAUGGCUCACGCUUAUGUCCUGCAGGCUGAAGCCCGCGCCAGGGUCCGCAGUCUUUGUUCCGGACGCAGAACCAGUGCUUCAGCUGGUUACCGAGGCGUCCCCGAAGGGGAAAGGGUGGACACGUGGGGCACCUGGCACUAUAGAGACUCAGAAAAUCCGCAGAUGUGGGGGGUCCUGCAGCAUCCAGGCAGACAUGCCGGCAGUCAGAGAGGAAAGUCCUCUGAAGCCUCUAGAAGGAAUGGAACAGGACCCAGCACUGCAGGAAGAAGUGGGGCACCCAGUGGCGGAUGCAGGCCCCACACACCGCCGCGGUAAACGUAUAAGGCUUUCCCUGGCCCUUGCCUGUUUCCUAGAAGCUGAAGCCGCGCGGAGGCCCAGGUUCGCCCUUCCACACACGGAAUAAGCUGUUGGACUGGCUGCCUCACCUAGGACCCGAGUUGCGCCAGAGAAAAUCGCGGAUGCUGCUUUCCCGCGGGCUGCAGUGUCUGUCACUUUAGCGACCGCAAUAACACUUCUCCCACAGGGACUCCGCGGUGCCCAGCUCUCCAGCCUGGGGAUUCUCAUCACACAGUGAUUCCAAAAGAAAUGAUCUACAAUGGCAUGACCAAGCGCCACAAACAGACAAACAUCUGAGGGAUGUCCAUUGGUCACUUUGAUUUUUCAAAGGUGACAAUUGUCCCUCCUUGAAAUCUUAAGAGAGCAUGAACAGGCUAUUCUAAUGGAUGUGCAAUUUACACUAAAACUGAUUGAAAGGUGAAUUCUGAUUCCAAGGUACUUUGUAUUCUCAAAUUGUGUCUGCUUCCCCUGACCCCCUCAAAAUGGGAGUGAUGACUACUUGUCUUCUUAGCACUGUGGGGACACAAAGCCUUAGAUGGAAGUGUGUCAAAAACAACAUUCCAUAAAAGGCCAUCACUUCCAAUUUUCAAGAAAGGUUGGAAACCAACCAUGAUGUAUGAAGCACUGUCAGCCAAAUUGAGCAAUUAGUAAUACAAAAUGAAUGGUAUAAACUAUUCUACAUGUGUGUGGCCAUGAUGGCAAUUUACACAUCGAAAAAACAUGGCCAAAUUCAGGAAGAGGAAUCUGUAAACUCACGGCUGUUGGGAAGCUUAAUGUCUGUGUACCGGAACCUAUCAAAGUUACUUCUCCAUGCCAGUCUGUCCAAACAAACCUUGAGUUGUUUAUUUCUAUGGAAUUCCUGUAGAAUCCUAAUGAGCAUGACCUUCUGGACCCAUCUUCACAGCUCUGGUGCCAGUGGAUUUGCACUUGCUCGUGUUUCUCCCUAUUUUGUUAAGGGUGGAAAUAUUUAGUGACAUGGUGGGUUGGAAAGGUACUGAAAUAAUGGCUGGGGCCUCCUGGGUGGGUGAGUCAGGGCUCCGGCAGCCUAAGACUUUUUACAAUAAGUAAGUUAUAGGUAAAGUUAGAAAAAAUAAAAAGAAAAUGGAAAUCAU
RNAcentral lists this long non-coding RNA (1610 nucleotides) under Homo sapiens (human). Its description in RNAcentral is "uncharacterized LOC112268173, transcript variant 2 (LOC112268173)". The record is from RNAcentral. Lineage: Eukaryota; Metazoa; Chordata; Mammalia; Primates; Hominidae.